GGGUUGUGAGGUUAAGCGACUAAGCGUACACGGUGGAUGCCCUGGCAGUCAGAGGCGAUGAAGGACGUGCUAAUCUGCGAAAAGCGUCGGUAAGGUGAUAUGAACCGUUACAGCCGGCGAUGUCCGAAUGGGGAAACCCAGUGCAAUUCGUUGCACUAUCGUUAACUGAAUACAUAGGUUAACGAGGCGAACCGGGGGAACUGAAACAUCUAAGUACCCCGAGGAAAAGAAAUCAACCGAGAUUCCCCCAGUAGCGGCGAGCGAACGGGGAGCAGCCCAGAGUCUGAAUCAGCUUGUGUGUUAGUGGAACGGUCUGGAAAGUCCGACGGUACAGGGUGAUAGUCCCGUACACCAAAAUGCACAGGUUGUGAACUCGAAGAGUAGGGCGGGACACGUGGUAUCCUGUCUGAAUAUGGGGGGACCAUCCUCCAAGGCUAAAUACUCCUGACUGACCGAUAGUGAACCAGUACCGUGAGGGAAAGGCGAAAAGAACCCCGGCGAGGGGAGUGAAAAAGAACCUGAAACCGUGUACGUACAAGCAGUGGGAGCACCUUUAUGGUGUGACUGCGUACCUUUUGUAUAAUGGGUCAGCGACUUAUAUUCUGUAGCAAGGUUAACCGUAUAGGGGAGCCGCAGGGAAACCGAGUCUUAACUGGGCGUUAAGUUGCAGGGUAUAGACCCGAAACCCGGUGAUCUAGCCAUGGGCAGGUUGAAGGUUGGGUAACACUAACUGGAGGACCGAACCGACUAAUGUUGAAAAAUUAGCGGAUGACUUGUGGCUGGGGGUGAAAGGCCAAUCAAACCGGGAGAUAGCUGGUUCUCCCCGAAAGCUAUUUAGGUAGCGCCUCGUGAACUCAUCUUCGGGGGUAGAGCACUGUUUCGGCUAGGGGGUCAUCCCGACUUACCAACCCGAUGCAAACUACGAAUACCGAAGAAUGUUAUCACGGGAGACACACGGCGGGUGCUAACGUCCGUCGUGAAGAGGGAAACAACCCAGACCGCCAGCUAAGGUCCCAAAGUCAUGGUUAAGUGGGAAACGAUGUGGGAAGGCACAGACAGCCAGGAUGUUGGCUUAGAAGCAGCCAUCAUUUAAAGAAAGCGUAAUAGCUCACUGGUCGAGUCGGCCUGCGCGGAAGAUGUAACGGGGCUAAACCAUGCACCGAAGCUGCGGCAGCGACGCUUAUGCGUUGUUGGGUAGGGGAGCGUUCUGUAAGCCUGCGAAGGUGGCCUGUGAGGGCUGCUGGAGGUAUCAGAAGUGCGAAUGCUGACAUAAGUAACGAUAAAGCGGGUGAAAAGCCCGCUCGCCGGAAGACCAAGGGUUCCUGUCCAACGUUAAUCGGGGCAGGGUGAGUCGACCCCUAAGGCGAGGCCGAAAGGCGUAGUCGAUGGGAAACAGGUUAAUAUUCCUGUACUUGGUGUUACUGCGAAGGGGGGACGGAGAAGGCUAUGUUAGCCGGGCGACGGUUGUCCCGGUUUAAGCAUGUAGGCGGAGGUUCCAGGUAAAUCCGGUACCUUUUAACGCUGAGGUGUGAUGACGAGGCACUACGGUGCUGAAGUAACAAAUGCCCUGCUUCCAGGAAAAGCCUCUAAGCAUCAGGUAACAUUAAAUCGUACCCCAAACCGACACAGGUGGUCAGGUAGAGAAUACCAAGGCGCUUGAGAGAACUCGGGUGAAGGAACUAGGCAAAAUGGUGCCGUAACUUCGGGAGAAGGCACGCUGGUGUGUAGGUGAAGUCCCUGCGGAUGGAGCUGAGACCAGUCGAAGAUACCAGCUGGCUGCAACUGUUUAUUAAAAACACAGCACUGUGCAAACACGAAAGUGGACGUAUACGGUGUGACGCCUGCCCGGUGCCGGAAGGUUAAUUGAUGGGGUUAUCCGUAAGGAGAAGCUCUUGAUCGAAGCCCCGGUAAACGGCGGCCGUAACUAUAACGGUCCUAAGGUAGCGAAAUUCCUUGUCGGGUAAGUUCCGACCUGCACGAAUGGCGUAAUGAUGGCCAGGCUGUCUCCACCCGAGACUCAGUGAAAUUGAACUCGCUGUGAAGAUGCAGUGUACCCGCGGCAAGACGGAAAGACCCCGUGAACCUUUACUAUAGCUUGACACUGAACAUUGAGCCUUGAUGUGUAGGAUAGGUGGGAGGCUUUGAAGCGUGGACGCCAGUCUGCGUGGAGCCAACCUUGAAAUACCACCCUUUAAUGUUUGAUGUUCUAACGUUGGCCCGUAAUCCGGGUUGCGGACAGUGUCUGGUGGGUAGUUUGACUGGGGCGGUCUCCUCCCAAAGAGUAACGGAGGAGCACGAAGGUUAGCUAAUCCUGGUCGGACAUCAGGAGGUUAGUGCAAUGGCAUAAGCUAGCUUGACUGCGAGCGUGACGGCGCGAGCAGGUGCGAAAGCAGGUCAUAGUGAUCCGGUGGUUCUGAAUGGAAGGGCCAUCGCUCAACGGAUAAAAGGUACUCCGGGGAUAACAGGCUGAUACCGCCCAAGAGUUCAUAUCGACGGCGGUGUUUGGCACCUCGAUGUCGGCUCAUCACAUCCUGGGGCUGAAGUAGGUCCCAAGGGUAUGGCUGUUCGCCAUUUAAAGUGGUACGCGAGCUGGGUUUAGAACGUCGUGAGACAGUUCGGUCCCUAUCUGCCGUGGGCGCUGGAGAAUUGAGGGGGGCUGCUCCUAGUACGAGAGGACCGGAGUGGACGCAUCACUGGUGUUCGGGUUGUCAUGCCAAUGGCACUGCCCGGUAGCUAAAUGCGGAAGAGAUAAGUGCUGAAAGCAUCUAAGCACGAAACUUGCCCCGAGAUGAGUUCUCCCUGAGACUUUAAGUCUCCUGAAGGAACGUUGAAGACGACGACGUUGAUAGGCCGGGUGUGUAAGCGCAGCGAUGCGUUGAGCUAACCGGUACUAAUGAACCGUGAGGCUUAACCUUACAACGCCGAAG
This 2927-nucleotide ribosomal RNA is filed under the name Klebsiella variicola. Its description in RNAcentral is "bacterial LSU rRNA". It matches the Rfam family "Bacterial large subunit ribosomal RNA". The record is from RNAcentral. Lineage: Bacteria; Pseudomonadati; Pseudomonadota; Gammaproteobacteria; Enterobacterales; Enterobacteriaceae.